AAUCAACGCUGGCGGCGUGCCUAACACAUGCAAGUCGAACGAGAAAGUGGAGCAAUCCAUGAGUACAGUGGCGUACGGGUGAGUAACACGUGACUAACCUACCCUCGAGUGGGGAAUAACCUCGGGAAACCGGGGCUAAUACCGCAUAACAUCUUCGGAUCAAGUGCGUAAGCAGCUUGAGGAGGGGGUCGCGGCCGAUUAGCUAGUUGGUGAGGUAAUGGCUCACCAAGGCAAUGAUCGGUAGCCGGCCUGAGAGGGCGCACGGCCACACUGGAACUGAAACAACGGUCCAGACUCCUACGGGAGGCAGCAGUGGGGAAGUUUUGUCGCAAUGGGCUAACGCCUGACGCAGCAACGCCGCGUGGAGGAUGAAGGUCUUUGGAUUNUAAACUCCUGUCAGCAGGGAAAAAGACAAAUCGGCCUAACACGCCGGUGAGUUGAUUGUACCUGCAGAGGAACGCCCCGGCUAACUCUGUGCCAGCCGCCGCGG
RNAcentral lists this ribosomal RNA (490 nucleotides) under uncultured bacterium. RNAcentral describes it as "bacterial SSU rRNA". It matches the Rfam family "Bacterial small subunit ribosomal RNA", at positions 32 to 520 of the family's 1533-position model. The record is from RNAcentral.